This 626-nucleotide ribosomal RNA is filed under the name uncultured Russulaceae. RNAcentral describes it as "eukaryotic LSU rRNA". The stretch from base 200 to 353 matches the Rfam family "5.8S ribosomal RNA". The record is from RNAcentral. Lineage: Eukaryota; Fungi; Basidiomycota; Agaricomycetes; Russulales; Russulaceae.
GAUCAUUAUUGUAUUACCGGGGGUGUAAGGGCCGGUGCCGGCCCUUAAAAGGUUGGGCCCGCCCCAGCCCUUUUGAACCUUCCUUUUUCCCCCUUGGGCCUCCAUGGGGGGGCCCCUUUUCAAAGGGGGCCUGGGUUUUUUUCACAUAAACUUGAUACAGUAUAGAAUAUUAUAUUUUGCUAUUAUAUGCAAUUAAUACAACUUUCAACAACGGAUCUCUUGGCUCUCGCAUCGAUGAAGAACGCAGCGAAAUGCGAUACGUAAUGUGAAUUGCAGAAUUCAGUGAAUCAUCGAAUCUUUGAACGCAACUUGCGUCCCUUGGCAUUCCGAGGGGCACACCUGUUUGAGUGUCGUGAAAUUCUCAAAAACCUUUUUAUUAAAGUUUUUGGACUUGGAGGUUUAAUGCUUGCUUUUGUCUUGGAAGCAAGCUCCUCUGAAAUAAAUUAGUAGGAUCUGCUUUGCUGAUUCUUAAUGUGAUAAGAUGUUUUACAUUUUGAAUUUGGCAUUGUCUCUUAGAUAUCUGCUUCUAAUUGUCUUAUGGACAACAAUGGUGCUUCUGGUUACUGCUAUUUAUAUUAGCAGACAGCUAGACCCAUAUAAAAUAAAAUCGUGACCUCAAAUCAUGG